Oncorhynchus tshawytscha (Chinook salmon) is the source of this 1092-nucleotide long non-coding RNA. The record is from Ensembl. NCBI's taxonomy places the organism in Eukaryota, Metazoa, Chordata, Actinopteri, Salmoniformes, Salmonidae.
UUCAAAAGUAUUUCUGUCUCUUUAUUGUAACACCACAAAUACAGUUAAAAAUCAAACAGUCUUGGUGUGAAUAUAAUCUUCAUAAUAAUGUAUAACAAAAGCAAAACUCAUUUUGAUCAAAUAAAAUGGUUCUGGGUCAUCAAAAUGUGUCCUGGAUCUAGCUAAUAAAACAUGCACACUGAAAGCUGGAUAGCAGAUAUCAAGUCUAUACAUUGGCUGGCUGGGCUGAUGAGACAGUGGAGAUCUAGUUUAUACAUUGGCUGGCUGGGCUGAUGAGACAGUGGAGAUCUAGUUUAUAAAUUGGCUGGCUGGGCUGAUGAGACAGAAGAGAUCUAGUUUAUGAAUUGGCUGGCUGGGCUGAUGAGACAGUGGAGAUCUAGUUUAUACAUUGGCUGGCUGGGCUGAUGAGACAGUGGAGAUCUAGUUUAUAAAUUGGCUGGCUGGGCUGAUGAGACAGAAGAGAUCUAGUUUAUGAAUUGGCUGGCUGGGCUGAUGAGACAGUGGAGAUCUAGUUUAUAAAUUGGCUGGCUGGGCUGAUGAGACAGUGGAUUGCGCAAUCAGAUGUAAUAGUGAAUAGGCUAUUCAACGUCAUAGCCUUAGCCGGUGGUACCUUAAAUAAUCAGCAUCCAGGAUUAGACCCACCCAAAAAAACUACAAUAAAUAACAGUAAAAUCCUCCACUAUAGAAAUCUGAGCUUAUUUCACUCUGGAUCAGAGAGUCUGCUAAAUGACUCACUACUGUAGUGGCUCUGGAUCAGAGAGUCUGCUAAAUGACUCACUACUGUCGUGGCUCUGGAUCAGAGAGUCUGUUAAAUGACUCACUACUGUAGUGGCUCUGGAUCAGAGAGUCUGCUAAAUGACUCACUACUGUAGUGGCUCUGGAUCAGAGAGUCUGCUAAAUGACUCACUACUGUAGUGGCUCUGGAUCAGAGAGUCUGUUAAAUGACUCACUACUGUAGUGGCUCUGGAUCAGAGAGUCUGCUAAAUGACUCACUACUGUAGUGGCUCUGGAUCAGAGAGUCUGUUAAAUGACUCACUACUGUAGUGGCUCUGGAUCAGAGAGUCUGCUAAAUGACUCACUACUGUAGUGACU